GAUGAACGCUGGCGGCGUGCCUAAUACAUGCAAGUCGAGCGAACGGACGAGAAGCUUGCUUCUCUGAUGUUAGCGGCGGACGGGUGAGUAACACGUGGAUAACCUACCUAUAAGACUGGGAUAACUUCGGGAAACCGGAGCUAAUACCGGAGAAUAUUUUGAACCGCAUGGUUCAAAAGUGAAAGACGGUGUUGCUGUCACUUAUAGAUGGAUCCGAGCUGCAUUAGCUAGUUGGUAAGGUAACGGCUUACCAAGGCAACGAGGCAUAGCCGACGUGAGAGGGUGAUCGGCCACACGGGAACUGAGACGGGGUCCAGAGUCCUACGGGAGGCAGCAGUAGGGAAUCUUCCGCAAUGGUCGAAAGCCUGACGGAGCAACGCCGCGUGAGUGAUGAAGGUCUUCGGAUCGUAAAACUCUGUUAUUAGUGAAGAACAGAUGUGUAAGUAACUGUGCACAUCUUGACGGUACCUAGUCAGAAAGCCACGGCUAACUACGUG
Molecule: ribosomal RNA, 497 nt
Filed under: uncultured bacterium
Lineage: Bacteria
Description: partial 16S ribosomal RNA
Rfam family: Bacterial small subunit ribosomal RNA
Source: RNAcentral